UACGUAGGGGGCAAGCGUUGUCCGGAAUUAUUGGGCGUAAAGAGCUCGUAGGCGGUGUGUCGCGUCGGCCGUGAAAACCUGCAGCUUAACUGUGGGCUUGCGGUCGAUACGGGCAUCACUGGAGUUCGGCAGGGGAGACUGGAAUUCCUGGUGUAGCGGUGAAAUGCGCAGAUAUCAGGAGGAACACCGGUGGCGAAGGCGGCAUCCUGGACCAACACUGACGCUGAGGAGCGAAAGCCAGGGGAGCAAACGGG
Molecule: ribosomal RNA, 254 nt
Filed under: uncultured bacterium
Lineage: Bacteria
Description: partial 16S ribosomal RNA
Rfam family: Bacterial small subunit ribosomal RNA
Source: RNAcentral